RNAcentral lists this long non-coding RNA (1136 nucleotides) under Anser brachyrhynchus (Pink-footed goose). Its description in RNAcentral is "lncRNA (ENSABRG00000001439.1)". The record is from RNAcentral. Lineage: Eukaryota; Metazoa; Chordata; Aves; Anseriformes; Anatidae.
GUAAAAGAUUUAUGGGAUGAAUUUCCUCUGAGAGCUAGAACCACAAUUGCAAAGGGAAAUCAAGGGGAAUGAAGCCCGGAAAGACUUCGCACAACCUAGGCAGGGGGUCUUUACAUCACGCAGUGACAAAACGCACCCUCAGCAUGCUGCAGGGUUUUUCUUCUCAGUCUCCAGUGUUGUUCCAAGAGGAAACAGCCUGGCCAUCCUCGCUAGCGUCAGGUCCUGCAGUGAUGUGGUUUGGGACUGCUUCCAAGAGCCCUGUUUUUCCAAGCAGGCCUUCUGAGACAAGCUUGAAAUUUCCUCUGCAAUGCAGAGCCUUCCCUAGCUGUCCACUCCUUUGGACCCCACAGCUGGAUGCUUCCUAUGUACUCCACAUUUUGAUCUAUCUUGGGGCCAUCCAGGUGCUCGCACCGAGUGGGCCUCCCAUGUCAGAGAGAUGAUGGGAAGAAAAUGCUGGGUGAGGCACUGUGAGCUGAUUGAAGCUUUUGGAUAGAACUGAAGGUGGUUGUUGGUUGUUUUUUGGUGUUUUUUGUUGUUGUUGUUGUUGUUUUGAAAUUGUCAGAAAUCGGGUGGACUGCUUGGAUCUCUCCUAUGAUUUGUCUUUUUGCAGUAAUGAACCCCUACAGACUAUUCCACUAAACCUUGCCUGCUCCAACACUGUUUCGUGGCAGCGAUGCAAAUGUGCUCUACGGUUUUUAGGCUAACAGUGUGAAACCCAAAACCACUUCUAGAAACUCUUGAGUUUAUUUCUUAGGUGACAGAAUUUCCACGUCGCCCAAGGAGAAACAUUGUCUAAAUUUUGGGCUUCUGCUUAGGAUAUUUUUUACUCGUGAAUCAUCUUUUCCGUAGUGAAAAUUUGCAUGACAUCUUGCUGCCAGUCUGACACAGCACCUCGCUAGAAGGACGAAUGAUGUUUGUUGAACAGGUAGCACAACAGAAGAUCUGCCACCCAAGCCAAGCUGCCAUCCAGCUAGACUCAGCUCUUGCUCUGAUCAGAGUUACAGACAGUACCAAGAAAGAGGAAGCACAACGAUUUGUAUGGUGUUAUUUUUUCUUUCGUGUAUUUUCAUCUUUACAUUUGCCUUUUCAAAAUGAAUAUGCAGAAAAUAAAGAAAGCACCCUCACAAAAAGAUGCA